GUACUUACCUGCAGGGGAAAUACCGUAAUCAGAAAUGCCCUCGGGGUGGGCUGCCCCCCUGCGAUUUCUCAACAUUUGGAAGCUCGCUGCACAGUGUGGUAGUGGGGCUGCGUCCGUGCUGUCCCCAG
Molecule: small nuclear RNA, 128 nt
Filed under: Myotis lucifugus (little brown bat)
Lineage: Eukaryota; Metazoa; Chordata; Mammalia; Chiroptera; Vespertilionidae
Description: U1 spliceosomal RNA (ENSMLUG00000022114.1)
Rfam family: U1 spliceosomal RNA
About the family: U1 is a small nuclear RNA (snRNA) component of the spliceosome (involved in pre-mRNA splicing).
Source: RNAcentral